ACAAAUACAGAGAAUCCACUGUUCACAUGGACAGAGUCUCCCCUGUAUUUGCACAGCAUCUCACAGGUACAAGAUACAACCACAUACAUAUGAAUAUCCACAUACAUAAACCACAUCACAAUUUUCACUUUAUUCCAUCACAGAUAGAUAUAAAUUCACAUCUAUUAGUUUAAAACGUUUCUUAUCCGGAAACUCAUUUUGAAACACUAAGAAUCAUGAAACUACAAAAAACUUUUUUAAAAUCGUUUCCCACACGGAAAUCUUUUUUUUUUAAAACACGCUACCACGAGGGGUAGAAAACUGUUUUCAUCUCAGGAGAAAAUCAUAAAUCCUUUAUUACAACCACAAAAUCAUCCUUGUCCAAU
RNAcentral lists this long non-coding RNA (365 nucleotides) under Ananas comosus (pineapple). RNAcentral describes it as "long non-coding RNA (ACOM_LNC044292)". Lineage: Eukaryota; Viridiplantae; Streptophyta; Magnoliopsida; Poales; Bromeliaceae. The record is from RNAcentral.